Molecule: ribosomal RNA, 279 nt
Filed under: uncultured bacterium
Lineage: Bacteria
Description: partial 16S ribosomal RNA
Rfam family: Bacterial small subunit ribosomal RNA
Source: RNAcentral
GUAACCUACGGGACGCAGCAGUGGGGAAUAUUGCGCAAUGGGCGAAAGCCUGACGCAGCGACGCCGCGUGAGGGAUGAAGGCCUUCGGAUCGUAAACCUCUGUCAGCAGGGAAGAACGGUCACUGUGCUAAUCAGCAGUGAAUUGACGGUACCUGCAAAGGAAGCACCGGCUAACUCCGUGCCAGCAGCCGCGGGAAUACGGAGGGUGCGAGCGUUAAUCGGAAUUACUGGGCGGAAAGCGCUCGUAGGCGGUAUGUCAAGUCAAGGGGGAAAUCCCCG